Molecule: ribosomal RNA, 494 nt
Filed under: uncultured bacterium
Lineage: Bacteria
Description: bacterial SSU rRNA
Rfam family: Bacterial small subunit ribosomal RNA
Source: RNAcentral
AAAGGAAUAGACGGGGGCCCGCACAAGCGGAGGAACAUGUGGUUUAAUUCGAUGAUACGCGAGGAACCUUACCCGGGCUUGAAAUGUGCAUGAUUGUUAAGAGAGAUCUUUUCGUCCUUCGGGCAUGCAUGUAGGUGCUGCAUGGUUGUCGUCAGCUCGUGCCGUGAGGUGUCGGCUUAAGUGCCAUAACGAGCGCAACCCUUGCCGCCAGUUGCCAUCAGGUCAUGCUGGGCACUCUGGCGGGACUGCCAUCGCAAGAUGUGAGGAAGGUGGGGAUGACGUCAAAUCAGCACGGCCCUUACGUCCGGGGCUACACACGUGUUACAAUGGGGGGUACAGAAUGCUGCUGGGCGGCGACGUCCGGCCAAUCACGAAAUCCCCUCUCAGUUCGGACUGGAGUCUGCAACCCGACUCCACGAAGCUGGAUUCGCUAGUAAUCGCGCAUCAGCCAUGGCGCGGUGAAUACGUUCCCGGGCCUUGUACACACCGCCCGU